RNAcentral lists this ribosomal RNA (497 nucleotides) under uncultured bacterium. RNAcentral's name for it is "partial 16S ribosomal RNA". It matches the Rfam family "Bacterial small subunit ribosomal RNA", at positions 28 to 507 of the family's 1533-position model. The record is from RNAcentral.
GAUGAACGCUGGCGGCGUGCCUAAUACAUGCGAGUCGAGCGAACGGACGAGAAGCUUGCUUCUCUGAUGUUAGCGGCGGACGGGUGAGUAACACGUGGAUAACCUACCUAUAAGACUGGGAUAACUUCGGGAAACCGGAGCUAAUACCGGAUGAUAUUUUGAACCGCAUGGUUCAAAAGUGAAAGACGGUCUUGCUGUCACUUAUAGAUGGAUCCGCGCUGCAUUAGCUAGUUGGUAAGGUAACGGCUUACCAAGGCAACGAUGCAUAGCCGACCUGAGAGGGUGAUCGGCCACACUGGAACUGAGACACGGUCCAGACUCCUACGGGAGGCAGCAGUAGGGAAUCUUCCGCAAUGGGCGAAAGCCUGACGGAGCAACGCCGCGUGAGAGAUGAAGGUCUUCGGAUCGUAAAACUCUGUUAUUAGGGAAGAACAUAUGUGUAAGUAACUGUGCACAUCUUGACGGUACCUAAUCAGAAAGCCACGGCUAACUACGUG